Molecule: ribosomal RNA, 1446 nt
Filed under: uncultured bacterium
Lineage: Bacteria
Description: bacterial SSU rRNA
Rfam family: Bacterial small subunit ribosomal RNA
Source: RNAcentral
AGAGUUUGAUCAUGGCUCAGGAUGAACGCUGGCGGCGUGCUUAACACAUGCAAGUCGAACGAACCUUCGGGUUAGUGGCGGACGGGUGAGUAACGCGUGGGAACCUGCCCUCAGGAGGGGGAUAACGGCUGGAAACGGCCGCUAAUACCCCAUAUGCCGAGAGGUGAAAAGAAAUUCGCCUGAGGAUGGGCCCGCGUCUGAUUAGCUAGUUGGUGGGGUAAGAGCCUACCAAGGCGACGAUCAGUAGCUGGUCUGAGGGGAUGAUCAGCCACACUGGGACUGAGACACGGCCCAGACUCCUACGGGAGGCAGCAGUGGGGAAUUUUCCGCAAUGGGGGAAAGCCUGACGGAGCAACGCCGCGUGAGGGAUGAAGGCCUCUGGGCUGUAAACCUCUUUUCUCAAGGAAGAAGAACUGACGGUACUUGAGGAAUAAGCCACGGCUAAUUCCGUGCCAGCAGCCGCGGUAAUACGGGAGUGGCAAGCGUUAUCCGGAAUUAUUGGGCGUAAAGCGUCCGCAGGCGGCCUUGUAAGUCUGUCGUUAAAGCGUGGAGCUUAACUCCAUUUGAGCGAUGGAAACUACAAGGCUUGAGUGUGGUAGGGGCAGAGGGAAUUCCCGGUGUAGCGGUGAAAUGCGUAGAUAUCGGGAAGAACACCAGUGGCGAAGGCGCUCUGCUGGGCCAUAACUGACGCUCAUGGACGAAAGCCAGGGGAGCGAAAGGGAUUAGAUACCCCUGUAGUCCUGGCCGUAAACGAUGAACACUAGGUGUCGGGGGAAUCGACCCCCUCGGUGUCGUAGCCAACGCGUUAAGUGUUCCGCCUGGGGAGUACGCACGCAAGUGUGAAACUCAAAGGAAUUGACGGGGGCCCGCACAAGCGGUGGAGUAUGUGGUUUAAUUCGAUGCAACGCGAAGAACCUUACCAGGGUUUGACAUCCUGCGAACCUCUGAGAAAUCGGGGGGUGCCUUCGGGAACGCAGAGACAGGUGGUGCAUGGCUGUCGUCAGCUCGUGUCGUGAGAUGUUGGGUUAAGUCCCGCAACGAGCGCAACCCACGUCUUUAGUUGCCAGCAUUCAGUUGGGCACUCUAGAGAGACCGCCGGUGAUAAACCGGAGGAAGGUGUGGAUGACGUCAAGUCAUCAUGCCCCUUACAUCCUGGGCUACACACGUACUACAAUGCUACGGACAAAGGGCAGCAAGCUCGCGAGAGUAAGCAAAUCCCAUAAACCGUGGCUCAGUUCAGAUCGUAGGCUGCAACUCGCCUACGUGAAGGAGGAUUCGCUAGUAAUCGCAGGUCAGCAUACUGCGGUGAAUACGUUCCCGGGCCUUGUACACACCGCCCGUCACACCAUGGAAGUUGGCCACGCCCGAAGUCGUUACUCCAACCCUUGUGGAGGAGGACGCCGAAGGUGGGGCUGAUGACUGGGGUGAAGUCGUAACAAGGUAACC